UGGGGAAUAUUGGACAAUGUAGGAAACUCUGAUCCAGCAAUUCUGUGUGUGUGAAGAAGGUUUUAGGACUGUAAAACACUUUUAGUAGGGAAGAAAAAAAUGACGGUACCUACAGAAGAAGCAACGGCUAAAUACGUGCCAGCAGCCGCGGUAAUACGUAUGUUGCGAGCGUUAUCCGGAAUUAUUGGGCUUAAAGGGCAUCUAGGCGGUAAGACAAGUUGAAGGUGAAAACCUGUGGCUCAACCAUAGGCUUGCCUACAAAACUGUUGAACUAGAGUACUGGAAAGGUGGGUGGAACUACACGAGUAGAGGUGAAAUUCGUAGAUAUGUGUAGGAAUGCCGAUGAUGAAGAUAACUCACUGGACAGAAACUGACGCUGAAGUGCGAAAGCUAGGGGAGCAAACAGG
Molecule: ribosomal RNA, 407 nt
Filed under: Verrucomicrobiota bacterium
Lineage: Bacteria; Pseudomonadati; Verrucomicrobiota
Description: Verrucomicrobia bacterium partial 16S ribosomal RNA
Rfam family: Bacterial small subunit ribosomal RNA
Source: RNAcentral